Rhinopithecus roxellana (golden snub-nosed monkey) is the source of this 1338-nucleotide long non-coding RNA. RefSeq lists it as uncharacterized. Lineage: Eukaryota; Metazoa; Chordata; Mammalia; Primates; Cercopithecidae. The transcript has 4 exons. The record is from RefSeq and is a predicted model, not a curated record.
CAACCCUACUCUUCCUACUAGUUCCCCUUACCCAACCCUGGUUCAGGACCACCUCUCCCGAGCUCCGGGCUAGGUCAGGCCGCUCUCCUUACACCCUCAUUACUCUUAGGUUUUUUCUUCAGCACUUUUACCACGAUUGUGACUAAUCACGUGUGUGAUCAUUUUGGUAACAGGUAAUAUUAAUAGCUCGAACAAUAUUACCGAGCUUUCCUCUUUGGCCUUUCUGGGUAAGUAGCCCUUCCCCUCUCAGGCCUGAGGCACCUGGCUACCUGGGAAAUAUUUGAAUUUGUACAGAAGGAAUAAAGAGGACCAUGGCAGAUCCAGUUCCUGAUCAUCAACACAGACUUUGCUACGAGACAGCUUUGUGAGAAAUACCAGAUCAGUUGCAGGAAAUAAAGAAAGACAUGUUCUCUGCAGACCCACGUGGCAGGUGCGGGGACUGCUUGCCAGCCCACGGCAACUCAUCUGUAGCGCAUAGAGAUUUGGGGGUAAGCCCAGUGAUGUGGAGUAUGUGGGCUGCCCAAGCUGGGUAGCAACCAACCUCAGCAUUGAAUGUACUGAGAGCCGGACUGGUGGAUGUCCCCACUGCCCUGAGGCAGGUCCAGGAGAAGGCUCCUACUUGCUGUGCAGAGGGCAAGCACCAAGUCAAGACUCCCAAAAUGUUACCAGAUGUCAGGCAUGAAGUAUACACUCCUGGCAAGCUCUGCCAUGCAUGGGAGUCACACCGCUUUCGACCCACAGGAGAGCCGGCCACGAGCAGUCCAAGGCAGGAGCAGAACUCCAUGUUGGCCAUUAUAAAGACAAGAUUCCUUUUCCCCCGCUUUUUAUGGCCUCUCUGGGGAAGAUGUGUCUGGAAGGAGGUGUGGGCCAGGAAAGAGCAUAUCUCUGAUGCCUGGGAUUCCGGGACAGAAUGUGCAGCCGACUCUAAGCUCUUGGGACGGGAUUGGAGGGUCUCAAAACCUUGCCAGCUUUGGAGUCAGAGAGAAAAGAGUCCCAACCCCAGAUUUACCAUUUGCUAACAUGUGUGACCUUGGGCAAAUCAGCUCACCUCUGUGGCCCUCGACAGAGAUAAUCCUGGUACCUACUUCACAGAGUCACGGAGAGGAUUAAAUGAGAAGAGGAAUAAAAGGAGUUUGGAGGAGUGCCCAGCACAUAGUGUGCAUUGAGCAAAUCCUGUAGUAAGAGGAGUAUUCAUAAUAGCUACUAUUGAUUAGGUGGUGGUGUCAGUUGAACAGUGUUCCCCCAAAAUUCAUGUCCACCCGGAGACACAGAAUGUGACCAUUUGUGGAAAUAGGGUCUUUGCAAAUCUAAGCAGUUAAGAUGAGGUCAUACUAGAUU